RNAcentral lists this ribosomal RNA (244 nucleotides) under Streptomyces xinghaiensis. RNAcentral's name for it is "Bacterial large subunit ribosomal RNA". It matches the Rfam family "Bacterial large subunit ribosomal RNA", at positions 457 to 687 of the family's 2925-position model. The record is from Rfam by way of RNAcentral. Lineage: Bacteria; Bacillati; Actinomycetota; Actinomycetes; Kitasatosporales; Streptomycetaceae.
CCGCUAAGCCUAAAUAUUCCCUGGUGACCGAUAGCGGAUAGUACCGUGAGGGAAUGGUGAAAAGUACCGCGGGAGCGGAGUGAAAUAGUACCUGAAACCGUGUGCCUACAAGCCGUGGGAGCGUCGCGCAUCGGACUUGUCCGGUGCGUCGUGACUGCGUGCCUUUUGAAGAAUGAGCCUGCGAGUUUGCGGUGUGUUGCGAGGUUAACCCGUGUGGGGAAGCCGUAGCGAAAGCGAGUCCGAA